UCAAGUUAUUAAGGGUGCAGGGCGGAUGCCUUGGCACUAGGAGCCGAUGAAGGACGUGAUAAGCUGCGAUAAGCUUCGGGGAGUUGCACGUAAACUUUGAUCCGAAGAUUUCCGAAUGAGGAAACUCACUUAGAGUAAUGUCUAAGUAUCAUUAAGUGAAUACAUAGCUUAAUGAGGGGAACUCAGGGAACUGAAACAUCUAAGUACCUGAAGGAAGAGAAAGAAAUUCGAUUCCGUAAGUAGCGGCGAGCGAACGCGGAUUAGCCCAAACCAAUAAAGUUUUCUUUAUUGGGGUUGCGGACAUAUCAUAACGAAGAGGUAUCGUAAUUGAAGAGGUUUGGAAAGACCCACCACAGAAGGUAAUAGUCCUGUAUGUUAAACGAGAAGACUUCAGAUAUGAUCCAGAGUACCACGGGACACGUGAAACCCUGUGGGAAGCAGGAGGGACCACCCUCCAAGGCUAAAUACUACCUAGUGACCGAUAGCGUAUAGUACCGUGAGGGAAAGGUGAAAAGAACCCCGGGAGGGGAGUGAAAUAGAACCUGAAACCCUGCACUUACAAGCUGUGGAAGCACAUUUCUUGUGUGACCGCGUACUUUUUGUAGAACGGGCCAACGAGUUACGUUAAGUAGCAAGGUUAAGCACUUAAGGUGUGGAGCCGUAGCGAAAGCGAGUUUUAACUGAGCGUUCAGUUACUUGACGUAGACCCGAAACCGGGCGACCUACCCAUGAGCAGGAUGAAGCGAAAGUAAAAUUUCGUGAAGGUCCGAACCCACGAGCGUUGAAAAGCUCGGGGAUGACUUGUGGGUAGCGGUGAAAUUCCAAUCGAGCCCGGAGAUAGCUGGUUCUCCCCGAAAUAGCUUUAGGGCUAGCCUCAAGGUGAGAGAUACGGAGGUAGAGCACUGAAUGUCCUAGGGGGUAUUGCACCUACCGAAGACUAUCAAACUCCGAAUGCCGUCAUCUUAUACUUGGGAGUCAGACUGUGGGUGAUAAGAUUCAUAGUCGAAAGGGCAACAGCCCAGAUCGUCAGCUAAGGUCCCUAAAUGUAAGUUAAGUGGUAAAGGAUGUGGGAUUGCACAGACAACCAGGAUGUUGGCUUAGAAGCAGCCACUCAUUCAAAGAGUGCGUAAUAGCUCACUGGUCGAGUGAUCCUGCGCCGAAGAUUUCCGGGGCUAAAACUUACUACCGAAGCUACGGCAUCAGUAAUGAUGGGUAGGGGAGCUUCCCAUACGGGUUGAAGCAUGACCGUAAGGACAUGUGGACAGUAUGGGAGUGAGAAUGUUGGCAUGAGUAGCGAGAUGUGGGUGAGAAUCCCACAGGCCGUAAACCCAAGGUUUCCAGGGGAAGGUUCGUCCGCCCUGGGUUAGUCGGGACCUAAGCUGAGGCCGAAAGGCGUAGGUGAUGGACAACAGGUUGAUAUUCCUGUACUACCGAUAACCGUUUGAGAGAAGGGAUGACACAGUAGGAUAAGCUAAGCACACUGUUGGUUAUGUGUGCCCAAGCAUUGAGGCAGUCAAAGUAGGCAAAUCCGCUUUGAUAAUGCUGGGAUGUGAUGGGGAGCGAAAUUUAGUAGCGAAGUAGCUGAUUUCACACUGUCAAGAAAAGUCUCUAUCGAGGUUAAAGGUACCCGUACCGCAAACCGACACAGGUGGGUGAGGAGAGUAUCCUAAGGCCAGCGAGAGAACUGUUGUUAAGGAACUCGGCAAAAUGACCCCGUAACUUAGGGAUAAGGGGUGCCACCAUCAGGUGGCCGCAGAGAAUAGGCCCAAGCGACUGUUUACCAAAAACAUAGGUUUCUGCUAAGUCGCAAGACGAUGUAUAGGAGCUGACGCCUGCCCGGUGCUGGAAGGUUAAGGGGAUCUGUUAGAGCAAUCGAAGCAGUGAACUUAAGCCCCAGUAAACGGCGGCCGUAACUAUAACGGUCCUAAGGUAGCGAAAUUCCUUGUCGGGUAAGUUCCGACCCGCACGAAAGGCGUAACGAUUUGGGCACUGUCUCAACAACAGACUCGGUGAAAUUGUAAUUCCGGUGAAGAUGCCGGAUACCUGCGACAGGACGGAAAGACCCCAUGGAGCUUUACUGUAGCUUGACAUUGGGUCUUGGUACUACAUGUACAGGAUAGGUGGGAGGCUUUGAAACCAGGACGCCAGUUUUGGCGGAGCCAUCCUUGGGAUACCACCCUUGUAGUACUGGGACUCUAACCAUAGGCCAUGAAUCUGGUCUUGGGACACUGUCAGGUGGGCAGUUUGACUGGGGCGGUCGCCUCCCAAAAGGUAACGGAGGCGCUCAAAGGUUCUCUCAGUACGGUCGGAAAUCGUACGUAGAGUGUAAAGGCAAAAGAGAGCUUGAUUGCAAGACAUACAGGUCGAGCAAGGAUGAAAAUCGGACUUAGUGAUCCGGUGGUUCUGCGUGGAAGGGCCAUCGCUCAACGGAUAAAAGCUACCCUGGGGAUAACAGGCUUAUCUCCCCCAAGAGUCCACAUCGACGGGGAGGUUUGGCACCUCGAUGUCGGCUCAUCACAUCCUGGGGCUGUAGUAGGUCCCAAGGGUUGGGCUGUUCGCCCAUUAAAGUGGUACGCGAGCUGGGUUCAGAACGUCGUGAGACAGUUCGGUCCCUAUCCGUCGCAGGCGUAGGAAAUUUGAGAAGACCUGUCCUUAGUACGAGAGGACCGGGAUGGACGUACCUCUGGUGUACCAGUUGUUCUGCCAAGGGCAUGGCUGGGUAGCUAUGUACGGAAUGGAUAAGCGCUGAAAGCAUCUAAGCGCGAAGCCAACUUCAAGAUAAGAUUUCCCACCGUAAGGGUAAGACCCCAGAAAGACUAUCUGGUUGAUAGGUCGAAGGUGUAAGUGCAGCAAUGUAUUUAGCUUAUCGAUACUAAUAGGUCGAGGACUUGACCAA
This 2896-nucleotide ribosomal RNA is filed under the name Clostridioides difficile. RNAcentral's name for it is "23S ribosomal RNA". It matches the Rfam family "Bacterial large subunit ribosomal RNA". The record is from RNAcentral. Lineage: Bacteria; Bacillati; Bacillota; Clostridia; Peptostreptococcales; Peptostreptococcaceae.